This 372-nucleotide ribosomal RNA is filed under the name uncultured bacterium. RNAcentral's name for it is "bacterial SSU rRNA". It matches the Rfam family "Bacterial small subunit ribosomal RNA", at positions 524 to 898 of the family's 1533-position model. The record is from RNAcentral.
UACGGAGGGUGCAAGCGUUAUCCGGAAUCAUUGGGUUUAAAGGGUCCGCAGGCGGAGGUAUAAGUCAGUGGUGAAAGCCUAUCGCUUAACGAUAGAACUGCCAUUGAUACUGUACUUCUUGAAUUCGGUCGAAGUGGGCGGAAUGUGUAGUGUAGCGGUGAAAUGCAUAGAUAUUACACAGAACACCGAUAGCGAAGGCAGCUCACUAGGCCUGAAUUGACGCUCAGGGACGAAAGCGUGGGGAUCAAACAGGAUUAGAUACCCUGGUAGUCCACGCUGUAAACGAUGAUUACUCGUUUUCGGCGAUAUACAGUCGGAGACUAAGCGAAAGUGAUAAGUAAUCCACCUGGGGAGUACGAUCGCAAGGUUGAA